GUUUUCUCUUGCAACAUUUCUACAUCUCUUAAACAGUUGUAUGCCAGAAACUGAACUGUGCAGAACUGUGCCCAACGACACCUGCAGCUGAUUAAACGUCUGUAAGUAGACACACAUAUAUACACAUACACUCCGGUUUAGGAGAAUAGCAUCUAACACAGUGAGACAUGCAUUAUUAACCAUUUUUUAAAUGAAUUAUUAUUAACUACAAUCACUUCAAUUAUGCCAUUUAAUUCAUUUAAUUAAUUCAUUCUUACAUUAUAUUUUGAUUAUAUUAUUUUUAUUUUUAUUUUGAUCAUUAUCUUGAAUUCAUGUCAUAAUUUGGUCCCACAGAUACAUACAUGCAUUAAAAAUAAGUUUAGUGGUUAGGGGUAAAAUAAUGGGGGUUACAAACAAUAUGAAGUCAUACAAGUCAAAAUUAGAACGAUAUAACAUGAAUUGCUAAUCUUAUUUUUGAAGGGGGUUCCUAAGGCACUUGGCGCAGCGGCAGAAGGUUUUGGGUAAACAUAAUGGCAUAAUGUCAAGAGGGAAGAGCACUAAUACCUUGCUCUUCACAGUCGGUAGUUGACCUUAAGUUCCGUCCGGGUUUUCCAGUCCCGAUCCCAGUUUCCCGUAAAUCUGUCUACGAUAUUGUUAGGUGAUAUUGUUCGCAGCACAAAACCCACCCCAUUUUCCCUGAGCCUAGCCGGCCAACCCUUAAGUAGACAGAGAGUGCUGACGAGACGACACUGCUCGUGUCCGUUACAGUUUAAUGCAGGCUAAUACUUCAUGAACUUCAAUUAGUUAAGCCGGUAUUUUCACAAGGCCCUGACGGAGUUCCCGGCUGUGUACUCAGGUACUGUGUCGAGUCUGUGUGCGGGCCUUUGCUUAAACUUUUCACUCUAUCCAUCCGUUCUUCUAGCUUUCCCCCAUCUGGGAGGAAUCCUUUAUAAUUCCUCUCCAUAAAAAAGGUAGCAAGUCUGACGCUAAAAACUAUAUGUUUGGAUACUAUGGAUUUCUAGCUACCUGUGUUCUAGGUUUCAAAGAGUCCUCUUCCAAAACUCCUUAUCUUUACCUGUUAUGGUUACUUCUGGAGUACUACAGGGUAGCCAUUUAGGCCCCUUACUUUACACACUCUUUAUUAAUGACAUGCCUUCUGUAUUAACAAAUUCUCGAGUACUUAUGUAUGCGGAUGAUGUUAUGCUCUGUGUCCAGUAUAAGGACAUUUCAUUUCACUCUCGGUUGCAAUCAGAUCUCAAUAUCUUUUAGUCAUGGUGCUGUGCAAAUAUGUUACAACUUAAUGCCUCGAAGUGCAAUGUAAUGACUUUUUAUCGCUCCAACCCCUUCCUGGCUCCUUACACCCUCUGCGGUAGUUCUCUUGAGAGAAUUACAUUGGAUAAUGAUCUAGGUGUUAAACUAGACGCCAAUUUAAAGUUUUCUGAACACAUUUCUACCAUGGUAAAUAAAGCCAUGGGUGUGCUUGGGUUUAUAAAGAGGUGGUCAAAGGAAUUUGAUGAUCCCUAUAUAAUUAAGACUCUCUAUAUAUCGCUUGUUCGUCCGAUUUUAGGGUACGGCUCAUGUGUAUGGCGCCCUCAGUACAACAUACAUCAGGACCGUAUUGAAUCAGUACAGAAAAACUUUUUAUUAUUUGCCCUACGGGGCCUCAACUGGGAUGCAACUGUGAGACUGCCAUCCUACCGUAGUAGACUUCUUUUAAUAAAUAUUCAAUCCUUAGUUAGUCGUAGAAAAAUGCUUGGUGUAAUUUGUAUGCACAACUUGAUCAAGGGGGAUGUAGACAGCCCUGUCUUGCUGAGCCGCAUAAACUUUACGAUUCCCAUUAGACCCACUAGAAACUUUAUUCCUUUGUUCCUUCCACUAUGUAGAUCGAAUUAUGCCUCACACGAACCCUUUAGGGUUUUAUGUUCGGAUUAUAAUUCCCUCUACCACAUUAUAUCCUCAACUAACUCCCUUCCUCUUCUUAAAUCUCUUAUACUAGCCUACCUCUCCCGUAGUUAGUUUCAUUUUAGUUUUGUCUUGUUUUUGAUUUUGGUAAUUGUUGCUUGCUUAGCUAUACUUUCUCUAAUUUAGUUGUGUUUAGUUCUAAUUUUCUUCGAAUAUUAGCCUAACAUCUAUCUUGCCUGCAUGCUCGCGACCAGUUCGGUUAAUCGCGCCGCGCGUCAUGCGGCAGCGCCCCUCGGUCGGUUGGGCGGGAGGAGGGCUGCGUUCUGCUGGGUUCCGCGCGUAACAGGCUUUGGCUUGGUGUCGCAAUGGCCACUUGAUGGUGCAGUCAUUGCAUAUCAACGUCCAGACAAUACUUCGGAGCAGCAGCAAAUACAUAAUUCUUAAGAUCAGCUCGCCUUGUUUGUAUUCAUACUCUCUUUAUAAUCUCUUAUACUAAUAAGCUAUUGUCCCGCUCAUCGCUCCCUCUCACAGUGCUUAGAAGCGAACGCAUAUGUAUGCACCCUUCGUACUGCUUAUAUUGCAGUGCUUUGCCCUUUCAUUGCCCCAGUCUAAAAUAUUGUCGAUCGCCGCGAAUCUCCGAGCAGUCCAAUUAAUUCUUUAUUUUCUUCGUUCAACGCGAACCCAUUACUUAUAUCGAGCUCUAAACCAUUGUACAUUUUAACAGACCAAAUAGUAGUUCACGGCCACGCCCCCUUUAAAUUGUAUAAAAUCGUCCAAUAAUAAACAUAUAAACGGCACUCAGUACUACAUCUGUACUUUAGCGGUGUUUUGUCAAAUUUUACAUUUUUUCUUCAUCUGUCAUCUACAUCUACAACACUUCUCACACCAUUACGAACACGAAGCAGUGAAUGAGAGAAUGUGAAAAAAAAACAAAUAUAAGCUGCGGGGCGGGGUGGGUUUAGCCACUGCAUACAUUUUUUUCAUUCCCAAUUCGGUGAUCUGAUAGAUAUGGCCAUUCCCUACGGAAUGGCGUUUUUAGUGUUCUUUUAUCUUCAAAAUUGUAGGUUUGUGAGGUUUUCGCCCUUUUGCGGGGGCGGAAGGGGGUGGGGCUCAUUUUUUAAAUACACUUGUAAUAGUGUGACUCUAGCUUUAAUGGUCUCUAAGAUCCAGGAGCUCAACCAGACGGACAGACAGACAUGGCUCAAUCGACUCGGCUAUUGAUGCUGAUCAGAAUAUAAGUAAUAUUUAAAUAUAACACGGGAAUCACAAAGUGUUAUUAUUUAUUUAUUGUAUUUACCAAAUGAAUGUAAAGAGUGAUUAAUGCUCGCAAGGCGAGACGUUACAUGGUAUCGCCACUCGGCUGAUUAUUAAAAACGAACUUAAGAACCCUAAACUUCCCAACUGUCCUUAGCUGCCGGCCACGGCGAUCGUCGCUGCCCAGCAAAAGUGCUGACCGUGCGCCUCGUGCGCCUCGGCGAUCGCGACGACGGCGAUCCCACGGGUGACGAAACUGCUCAUUUUACAAUAUUGCAGAAUUCGUCCAACCCAGUGGUCAAUUCAGUUAACUCUUGUUAACUACUCCCUCCUUCAAGACUUGCCCGUCCUCCGUCAAGCCCAUGCUCUUCAGCAUCUGCUCUAUAGCGACGGUGUUACCCUUUUGCUGCCUGCUCCGCAUCCACCAGGAAAAGCCGAUAAGUGCAACGCACACGGCUACGCCCACGACACGGUCAGGUGCUGCAGAUUUUCCUCGUUCAGCUUGUGAAGAUACGGCAGGCUCAACAACGUUUGGUGGCGGGUGACAUUAAUCCUCGCCGAGGUAGCUACGCCAGGUACUCUCUUUGUUGGAUUGUUGAAGUUGGUGUAUUUUGUCCCGUUGGGCGACUUGGUCAAAGGUUACCAAGUACGUUCCCGUAACAUUUCGCUAGGGGCCGUCGUCGGUGGUCACAAUGGCGGUGGCAUCGUUGAUUACGACGAUACACUAAUCUAUCUCCAAGAUAGGGGUCAGGUUAUUCGUCUGGGUGUCGCAGUGGGCCACAGCGCCAAAAUGCAGUUCUUGGGCGCAGCUAUGUACCUCCUUACAGACGGCUAAUGAUGGGGGCCCCUUGCAUGAUGAGACAGCGAUGAUCUUGCUGUCGCACUCUGCUAUAAUGUCCUCUGGUAGAUGGAUCGUUACACCCUUGCGUGCGACUGUUGAAGAUGUUUAUUUUCUUAGGUUCUUAGCUUAGGUCUAGGCAUUUCAAUUACAAAGAUAAUUAAUUCGUUAUUCACUAGUGCCCUCACGUUAGCAGCGCCCAAAAGUUGGGCUACACUGAUAUCGGUGGAACCUUUCUUCAAAAUCGCCUCUAAAUCAUUGCUCUCGAUGAUAGCUGGAUUCACGAUAUUUAUUUUAGCCAGCGUAGUGGCGAUCAUUAAGUUCUGCAAUUCGAGCGUCACUUUAUCAGACUUUUUGACCCCAUUUUUAUAUUGACGCCAGCUUUCGUUAGCGUGUCGAGCCCUAUGAUACCAUCAAAAGAUGACAGCUCCGGCACGAGGUGCCGUUAGGAAACAUUUUUGCUCUACUUUAUUGAAGCCGUACAACAAAUGGGGCCUCUACAGUGACAAUUCCCUUAAGUUCUUUUAGUGGUUUGAUAUAAUUUUUUGCGGCCCCAGUGUCUAUUAAAAGGUUUAGCGUUCUCCCUGCUACUGUUCGUCUGACGAACGGGAGCAGUGACUCUACCCUUAAAAAUUGACAGUAUCACUGUCGUAUCCUGCACUAUUGUCCUCAUAAAUCUCCGCCACUGCUUCCGAUGCUAACUGUUCGUAUUGUUGUUCGUCAACCUGAGAGAGGUGAUUGACCCUCUGCCUCCGCUGGUCGGAGAAUCUCUGGGAUGCAGCCGGCCUUUUAUAGGCACCCUGUUGGUGCCCGUUAUUAGGGUUUGCAGUAGCCGGUAGGCCUGGGUUGUGCCCCUGUUGCUUUUGAAAGGCAGUUGGCUGACGGAAUGUUGAGGAAGAUGGAUCAACAUCCAUCAUCUCUAUUUUGUCUUGGCUACGGAUACCGCCUGUUUGAUGGUUCCCCUGAUUGUUCGUGUAAAACGGGUUCUUGAUUGUCUCUUAUAGUGAUCGGGCUCAUUCUGUACGCCCUGCCAAAUAUCCGUGAGGCCUCUUCUUAAGCCUGAAAUAAAGACACGGAGUGCGUCAGCCCUAUACUUUUCGUUAAUUUACUGCGCCUGUGCGGCGUCUUGUGACAUGAUCGUCUUAUUUAUGAGAAGUGAGGGUGAGCUUCUCGACCUCUUCGUAGAACUGAGUGAUGGACAGUCCACCCUGUCGAAGUGUGGCAAGCUCUUGCUCUUGCAAGUGUACCGGACGUUUAUCCGAAGCUAAGUGUGAGUCAGCGGGCCCUCCAAUCUUGUUCCUGAUUAUUAAGACCGCUUGGAAGUGCUUUGAACUUCCUUCAAAACCUCCGUAUAGCUUAUAGGCAACUUUUGCUGCCUGCCGCCAGGAAACAUACUGCUCCUGGGCCCGUUGAAUUCCGGCAGCGUUUUUACCGCAUCCAAAACUUCUUCGCAACUCACCGUUCGGUCCAAGGUGACCGCUUCGUAGACCUUGGCCUCGGCGGCCUGAACUCUUGCAGCCUGCAGCUGGUCAGUUACCUCCUGCAAACGCCGAUUAAAGUCAGCUUUUUCUAUUGCUGGCGCAGAGCUGACCGCUGCCUCUAUAACGGCUUUGAUCUGAUCAGGGUCAAUUUUUAUACUCUUCCUACGGGUUCUAUUUCAAGGUGUAAACUGAGUCCACCGAACAAUCUCUCUAAAUCAAAAAUGGGCAUAAACAGAUUUUUUCUCGGUUGCCCCCUAGCGUGUCGUUUGUCUUUGUCGUGGGUCAGAUCCAGCUCUGCCGGGCCGUUGUUAGUGUUUAUUUUCUUUAAGAAUCAAAUUCAAGUUCCCUCUAACACAGAUCUCGUUGUUGUUGCCCGCCGACAAGAAUGUAUUUAUGGUGCGGUGUUAUGUUUCUUACUUGCGCCUAGAGCACAAAAAAAAAACUUGAGAACAGCCGAAUAUUUUUGAAUAUAAAUAAGUUUUAUCUGUUUGGUUUUGCUUUUACUUUUUGGGCGAUAAUUGAAGAAAAGGUUCACUUACAUGUUCCUCUUUUAUUCUCCACCACUUGGUAUAUUAUAUCUUAUAUUGCUCUGCGUUGUCCACCCCUCUCUUCUAUCGUCGCCGCUGCCCAAAGCCGUCCGCUCUGGUGUAACAGUUUGGGAUUGAUUAAAUGCCUUUUAUUUCCACUCUAGGCCACGAGCUUUUGAGUGCAACUCUUGUGUUUUGGAGCGGGCGUUGUCUCCGCGCUCCACUGUUUUCACUUUUUUUUUCUUUUUUCUCUGGCGGGCUUUGUCCGCACUCGAUGUUCUUCGGUCUUUUGCACUUUUUACCGAUUUUCACUUUGCGGGGGUGGUUCGAUCGCGUUGGGCGCCAGUAAUAUUUAUAUAUAACACGGGAAUUACAAAGUGUUAUUAUUUAUUUAUUGUAUUUACCAAAUGAAUGUAAAGAGUGAUUAAUGCUCGCAAGGCGAGACGUUCAUGGUAUCGCCACUCGGCUGAUUAUUAAAAACGAACUUAAGAACCCUAAACUUCCCAACUGCCCUUAGCUGCCGGCACGGCGAUCGUCGCUGCCCAGCAAAAGUGCUGACCGUGCGCCUCGUGCGCCUCUGCGAUCGCGACGACGGCGAUCCCACGAGUGACGAAACUGCUCAUUUUACAAUAUUGCAGAAUUAGUCCCACCCAGUGGUCAAUUCAGUUAACUCUUGUUAACUUAUAUAUACUUUAUGGGGUCGCAAACGUUUCCUUCUGUGCGUUACAUGCAUUCACUUUGUGCACAAAUACAAUAUACCCUAUUUACUGCUCAAGUACCGGGUAUAAAAACUAAUACGGAAAAUAAUUGUCGUUAAUGUGGCCGGUUAUUCGUUUUCGUUUUCUCUUUCGCCGUCUUGCUUCAGCCUGCGCAACGCACUGUCGAAACCAUGGUAAAAUUACUAAAAAAGUGACUUCAUCAGCUGAGUGGAGGAGAACCAGCUUAUUCACCUCGCUCUCAGAGAGGCAAGCGCUAGAGAGAGAUAGCAAACGUCUAUUAGUAAUUUCACCAUGAUUUCACCAUGAGCAGGUGAUCCUGGUGAGCGGGCACUGUGGUGAAUCCGUCACCUUGUUACUAAUUUCACCAUGGUCGAGACCGGCUGCAUAGAGUUCUAAGCGAGGUCCGUUAGCUUUUUUCGGCUACUCUUUCGUCGUUUGCUUCAGCCAUCUCUCGUGACCGGCUCAAGAACCCUCUUUCGAACUCGAAAUCGGUGCGCUCUCUCGAUCGUUCUCUCGCGCAUAUAUAUAGUGCCGCAAAAGUGAACACAAGAGCUUAAACUUGUACAUGAAGAAACUAUAAGGAGUCAUCGUCGGUGGCAGAGUUAUUCGCAUGUUCUGCCUAUUUUCGGUGCUCGUUUGCUUGUCGAUGCGGAAGGUUGCUUGCGGACGAAAUUUUAAAAAAUGUUUUUAUUUUGUUCAAAAUGUUUAUUUUUUCAAAACACAGACUGCUAUCAUGAAGCAAACUAUUAAAAAUUAAAUUAUGUAACAGUUAUUAUGUUUUUUCUUAUUGCUUUCAAAUGGUUAAUCAGCACACUCCAUUGUCGUUAGCGUCGCACUUACAGCGAGAGCCCUUCCACUCGCACUUUUCACUCGCUCGUUCUGCUUAUCUUUGCCUACGAGACCUCCUUGUAGUUUCUUCAUGAACUUGUAAAUCUCGUUGAAUAAUCGUAUUUAACUGUGAUCGACUAAUACAUUCCGCGUCAACAAUCUAUGGCCAAAACAUGGGAAAUAGAAAAAAUAAUGGAAACGAGAAGGGACGUGUGAAACGCAUCUUACUCGUCACAACUUUUAUACCCGGCACUCAGUACUACAUCUGCACCUUAGCGGUGUUUUGUCAAAUUUUAAAUUUUUUCUUCAUCUGUCAUCUACAUCUACAACACUUCUCAUACCAACACGAUCCUUACAUAUGGCCAUUCCCUACGGAAUGGCGUUUUUAGUUUUCUUUUAUCUUAAAAACUGUAGAUUUGGGAGGUUUUCGCCCUUUAGCGGGGGCGGAGCUCUAGCUCUUAUAGUCUCUGAGAACUAGCCGACAAACAAGACGGACAGACAGACAUGGCUCUAUCGACUCGGCUAUUGAUGCUGAUCAAGAAUAUAUAUACUUUAUGGGGUCGGAAACGCUUCCUUCUGUGCGUUACAUACAACCGUUAUUCCCCACAAAUACAAUAUACCCUAUUUACUCUUCGAGUACCGGGUAUAACUAACUACGGGAGAGGUAGGCUAGUAUGGGAGAUUUAAGAAGAAGAAGGGAGUUAGUUGAUGUUAUAAUGUGGUAGAGGGAAUUAUAAUCUGAGCAUAAAACCCUAAAGGGUUCGUGUGAGGCAUAAUUCGAUCUACAUAGUGGAAGGAACAAAGGAAUAAAGUUUCUAGUGGCUCCAAUGGGAAUCUUAAAGUUUACGCGGCUCAACAAGUCAGGGCUGUCUACAUCCCCCUUGAUCAAGUUGUGCAUACAAAUUACAGCAAGCAUUUUUCUACGACUAACUAAGGAUGGAAGAUUUAUUAAAAGAAGUCUACUACGGUAGGAUGGCAGUCUCACAGUUGCAUCCCAGUUGAGGCCCCGUAGGGCAAAUAAUAAAAAGUUUUUCUGUACUGAUUAAAUACGGUCCUGAUGUAUGUUGUACUGAGGGCACCAUACACAUGAACCGUACUCUAAAAUCGGACGAACAAGCGAGAUAUAGAGAGUCUUAAUUAUAUAGGGGUCAUCAAAUUCCUUUGACCACCUCUUUAUAAACCCAAGCACACCCAUGGCUUUAUUUACCAUGGUAGAAAUGUGUUCAGAAAACUUUAAAUUGGGGUCUAGUUUAACACCUAGAUCAUUAUCCAAUGUAAUUCUCUCAAGAGAACUACCGCAGAGGGUGUAAGGAGCCAGGAAGGGGCCGGAGCGAUAACAUUGCAUUUCGAGGCAUUAAGGUGUAACAUAUUUGCACCACACCAGGGCUGAAAGCUUUUGAGAUCUGAUUGCAGGCGAGAGUGAAAUGAAAUGUCCUCAUAUUGGACGCAGAGCUUAACAUCAUCCGCAUAUAUAAGUACUCGAGAAUUUGUCAAUACACAAGGCAGGUCAUGUGUUAAAAGUAAGGGGCCUAAAUGGCUACCCUGUGGUACUCCAGAAGUAACCAUAACAGGUAAAGAUAAGGUAUUUUGCAAUUAUGAAUUAUUAUGCCCUAAUUGCCUACGAAAGGGCCAUCAUAUGAAGGAUUGUAAAUCCGGUCCCUGCCGAACUUGUCGAUCGAUCACCACACGCUUUUGCAUUUCGUUCGUCCAACAUUUCAAUCUGCUUCUACGAGUAAAGCCUCGCAACAACAACCAAUUCAUAGCGCCGUGGUUGCGAUUUCGUCCUUAUUGCCUCAAGCCCCAAUAUCCCAUAGAGAUAAGAGCAUAGGAGAUGCUAGCUUCUCAACUGAAGGUAUCUCGGUGGAUCUCGUUCUGAAAUCGCGGAUUUCAGAUUUCACCACUAGCAUCACUUCCGUCGUUACCCAGAAGAUCACGUACAAUCAACCUAGCAACUCAAUUACCACAGCUUGCUGACCCUUCGUUCCAUAAGUCGCAACAGAUUGACUUGCUCAUCGGAGCUGGACUUUUCUUCGAGUUGAUGUGUGUGGGACAAAUUCAGCUGGCGCCUGGACUGCCGUCACUGCAGAAGACACAUCUCGGAUGGUUCAUAUCUGGUGGCGGGCUUUCUGCCCCCAGGCUUUCGUCGUUUCUCACAGCGCAAUCUUCGGAUUGCGGGAACAACAUAUCAUAUUGCGAUCAUUCGGGCGGGCAAUCGUCUCCUAACCUAUCGUCGCUUUUAACAGCCCAAUCUUCGGAUUGCGGGCACUCUGGGGGGCAAUCGUCCCCCUACCUAUCGUUGUUUAUCGCCGCACAGUCUUUGGCUUCCUUACACUCGGGUGUGCAUUUCGCCCACAACACAUCUUCGUUCAGUACAACCCAAUCUUCGGAUGACUCCAAUCACAGCACUCGGCUCGAUGAGUUGAUUAAUCAAUUUUGGGAAGUGGAGCUCACAUUUGGACUGAUCGCUCGGGCUGCAAAGGAGGAGCAUCAUUGUGAGGAGCAUUUCGUUACUAACACUCGUCUGGUGGAGGGCACUCGGCCACCACUCUAUCGUCGUUUAUCGUCUAAGUGUGUCAACAUCUCGCUUUCUUUAGAGUACAUUAACUCAUUCGGAGGCAUGAUGCGCCUUUGUGGAAACGUUCAACAGUGGGACGAAAUCGCCGCAUUUCUUGUCUUAGAACCUACCAAAGGAUCGAGUGGAGGAUUCGCCUGCAUUUAACGUCACUGGAAUUGACUACGGCAGUGCCUUCUACAAUGACUUAUAUUUGAGAGUAAUAGCACUUCUCUAUCAUCGUUUCGGGAUACUAUUGGCAUCAGUCAAGAAGAAAGGACUUAAUUUUUAUUGCUCCGUGGGAUCUUCCCUUUUUACUUUUGAUGAGCUGCGGACCUUGGUCUGCCAAAUCCAGGCUGUAAUCAAUUCUCGACCUCUUAUCGCUAUUUCAGAAAACCCUGAAGAUCUUGGCGUCCUCACACCAGGACAUUUUCUAAUUGGUCGUCCGCUGAUGGAGUUUUCCAAGCCAGACGUAACGGGUCUACACAUCAAUAGAUUGGAUUGCUGGCAACGAAUCAAUUGUGCCCAGUAAAUCUUUUGGAAGCGUUGGAGUGAGGAGUACUUGACUCUGCUCCAACAACGUGCCAAAUGGCGCACAUCGCAGCCUUCGAUUCAAGUCAACGACGUCGUCUGCAUCAAGGAUAAGAACCUGCCGCCGUUGAAGUGGCCUUUGGCCAGGGUGAUCGAGGUCAUAGCUGGAGGCGAUGGGACUGUGCGAGUUGCAGUCCUGCGGACACCAUCCGGAACCACUCGUCGAGCUGUCAACAAGAUGUGCCUCCUACCCGUUGAGGAUCCUGUUAAAAGCCCUGGUCUUUCAACGGGGGUGUAUGUUCGGAGCAGCAGCAAAUAUAUAAUUGUAAAGAUCAGCUCGCCUUGUUUACAUUUAUACUCUCUUUUAUUAAUAUGCUAUUGUCAUCGCUCAUCGCUCCCUCUCACAGUGCAUAGAAGCGCACGCAUAUGUAUGCACGCUUCGUACUGUUUAUUUUGCAGUGCUUUGCCCUAUUCUUGCCCCAGUCUAAAAUACUGUGAUCCAUUGUACAAUUGAACAAACCGAAUCGUAGUUCAAGACCACGCCCCCUUUAAAUUGUAUAAAAU
This 11174-nucleotide long non-coding RNA is filed under the name Drosophila guanche. The record is from RNAcentral. Lineage: Eukaryota; Metazoa; Arthropoda; Insecta; Diptera; Drosophilidae.